RNAcentral lists this ribosomal RNA (466 nucleotides) under uncultured bacterium. Its description in RNAcentral is "partial 16S ribosomal RNA". It matches the Rfam family "Bacterial small subunit ribosomal RNA", at positions 28 to 507 of the family's 1533-position model. The record is from RNAcentral.
GAUGAACGCUGGCGGCGUGCUUAACACAUGCAAGUCGAACGGAAAGGCCCAAGCUUGCUUGGGUACUCGAGUGGCGAACGGGUGAGUAACACGUGGGUGAUCUGCCCUGCACUUCGGGAUAAGCCUUGGAAACUGGGUCUAAUACCGGAUAGGACCACAUUUUGGAUGGUGUGGUGGAAAGUUUUUCGGCGGGGGAUGGGCUCGCUGCCUAUCCGCUUGUUGGUGGGGUAAUGGCCUACCAAGGCGUCGACGGGUAGCCGGCCUGGGCGGGUGUACGGCCACAUUGGGACUGAGAUACGGCCCAGACUCCUACGGGAGGCAGCAGUGGGGAAUAUUGCACAAUGGGCGCAAGCCUGAUGCAGCGACGCCGCGUGGGGGAUGACGGCUUUCGGGUUGUAAACGCCUUUCGCUAGGGACGAAGCGUUAUGUGACGGUACCUUGAGAAGAAGCACCGGCUAACUACGUG